This 403-nucleotide RNase P RNA is filed under the name Alteraurantiacibacter buctensis. RNAcentral's name for it is "Bacterial RNase P class A". It matches the Rfam family "Bacterial RNase P class A". Rfam says of the family: Ribonuclease P (RNase P) is a ubiquitous endoribonuclease, found in archaea, bacteria and eukarya as well as chloroplasts and mitochondria. Its best characterised activity is the generation of mature 5'-ends of tRNAs by cleaving the 5'-leader elements of precursor-tRNAs. The record is from Rfam by way of RNAcentral. Lineage: Bacteria; Pseudomonadati; Pseudomonadota; Alphaproteobacteria; Sphingomonadales; Erythrobacteraceae.
CCAGGGGGCCGGGCAGCCGCGAUGGGGGCAACUCCACCGAGGAAAGUCCGGGCUCCACGAAACAAGGGUGGCGGGUAACGCCCGCCGGGGGUGACCCCAGGGAAAGUGCCACAGAGAGCAUACCGCCGAUGGGUUUUCGGACCACAGGCAAGGGUGAAAGGGUGCGGUAAGAGCGCACCGGGGUUCUGGUAACAGCGCCCGCAUGGCAAACCCCACCCGGAGCAAGACCAAAUAGGGGUCUCGCGCUGAAAGGCAGGGGUGUUUCGCCCCGAUGAGACCCGGGUUGGUUGCUGGAGCGGUGCCGCAAGGCCCCGCCGAGAUGAAUGGCUGCCGUUCCGGAUACGGUGCGUUUCGGCGCAUACCGUCCGGAUCACAGAACCCGGCUUACAGGCCCCCUGGCUCU